RNAcentral lists this long non-coding RNA (1379 nucleotides) under Phoenix dactylifera (date palm). Its description in RNAcentral is "long non-coding RNA (PDAC_LNC007632)". The record is from RNAcentral. Lineage: Eukaryota; Viridiplantae; Streptophyta; Magnoliopsida; Arecales; Arecaceae.
AUUUGAUUUAUGCCCUUCUGAAGAACUGAUAGAAUCAUGUGAAAGCAUCAGUUCUUCACUCUGAUCAAAAUCUGGUCUAGUGACUGUUUCCAAUAUAGUAGUUUCAUUUAUGUCAUGUACUAGUGGAUGUGAAAUGCUAGCAGCAGCAGGAUGCUGUCAUGUACUAGUGUGAUUCUCGAGGACGAAGCUCGAUCAAGGCUUAUACAAAAGAAGAGGAGAAGGAGCGUGCUGAGGAAGGAGGAGAAGGAGGAGAACAAGCAAGACGGAGGGAGAGAAUGGAGUAGGAGAAACUACCUCGGGCGGAGCGCGCGUUGGGGUCGGUCGGUCGACGCCGGAGAGGAGGUAGGCCUUCUGGAACGUGGCCGUUGGCGUCAAGGAAGUCCGAUUCGUGGCUUUCAGCCGCCGGAGAGGAGGGAGAUGGGGGCAGCGCCGGAGACGAAGGCAAGGGCAGCGCCGGAGACGAAGGCAAGGGGUAUCGGGAGUAGCUAGGGCAAGAAUGGGGUCGGGCAAGGGCAGCGCCGGAGACGAAGGCAAGGGGUAUCGGGAGUAGCUAGGGCAAGAAUGGGGUCGGGCGCUGCGUUUUAAGGGGGCCUUGGCGACGCUUAUAAGCGUCGUUUUAGCCUGAAGUCUACGACGACGCGUUUAAGCGUCGUCCAAUGCUUCAAAUUUCCCACGCUCUCCUAGAGCGUCGGGAAAGGUUGGCGCGGGAGCAGGAAAUGCCGACGCUUUCCCUUAGCGUCGGCAUUUAAGCGUCGGCUUUUCACACAUUUACUGUAGUGUUAGCUUGAGGAGGUCCCAAGUUGGCUUGGGGUGUCUCCUUAGUUGACCUCUUCGAAAUUUAUGUUAGGAGGAAUUUUGAGUGAGCUUGGCUUGAGGAGGUCCCAGAUGGAUUCGGGGUGUCUCCUUAGUUGUUCUCUCUAGAGUUCGAGUCUAGAAGAACUUCAAAUGAGCUCGGCUUGAGGAUGUCCUAGACGGAUUUGGGGUGUCUCCUUAGUUCGGAGCCCAGGCAUUCGUGGGGUGUCUUGAGUCAAAAUGCUUGUUAUACUUGUCCAAUCUAAAAGAUAGAGACAUAACGAGAAAAUUUUUAUUAGGAAUAAACUUGAAAUACAAACGAACCUUACUGGUGAUAAAUAUGAAGAUUGUCGAAAUUCUAAGUUCAUGGGAUCAGAGCAUCGUCAAGGUGCUCCAACUUAUAUAUUCUAGGUCGCAUUGAUUCGGCUACUCAGUAUGGGCCUUCCCAGUUUGGGUUUAGCUUUUUGGGCUCUCUUGGUCAAAAUACUUCGAUCUUUCUUAAGACGAGAUCGCUAAGUCAGAAGAUCUUACUCUUGACCUUUGAGUUGUAGUACCUAGCUGCUUUCCACUGGUACUUUGCCAGCCNN